CAAUACUGAAGACUCCCAUCUUCUGCAUGAGGCUCCUUCAGGGUUUUGAAGACAACUAACAUGUCCCCUUAAGACUUCCCUCAAAGCUGACAGCUCCAGUUCUGGCAACGGUAGCUCCGAGUUUCACUUUCCAGACCUUCAGCAUUCUAGACAUUUUCUGGCAUGACCAAUGUACUCUGGAGAAGUCUUUUAAAAGACUGACCAACUGUCCCAGAUUGAAGAAGACUAAGGAGAUACGACAGGUUAAUCUCUGGAAUCCCCACGUGCCCAAAUCAAUUUGUUUCCGGGACUACCAUAACAAAGCACCACGAACUUGGUGGCUUCGAACAAUAAAAAGGUAUCCUCUCACAGUU
This is a long non-coding RNA of Neofelis nebulosa (Clouded leopard), 353 nucleotides long. RefSeq lists it as uncharacterized. NCBI's taxonomy places the organism in Eukaryota, Metazoa, Chordata, Mammalia, Carnivora, Felidae. The record is from RefSeq and is a predicted model, not a curated record. The transcript is spliced from 2 exons.